CCUACGGGUGGCAGCAGUGGGGAAUAUUGCACAAUGGGGGGAACCCUGAUGCAGCGACGCCGCGUGAGUGAAGAAGUAUUUCGGUAUGUAAAGCUCUAUCAGCAGGGAAGAAAUAAAGUCCUUCGGACUUCGGACGGUACCUGACGAAGAAGCCCCGGCUAAAUACGUGCCAGCAGCCGCCGUGAUACGUAGGGGGCAAGCGUUGUCCGGAUUUAUUGGGGGUAAAGGGAGGGUAGACGGCAGCGCAAGUCGGGAGUGAAAUCCCAUGGCUUAACCAUGGAACUGCUUUGGAAACUGUGCAGCUAGAGGGCAGGAGAGGUAAGCGGAAUUCCUGGUGUAGCGGUGAAAUGCGUAGAUAUUAGGAGGAACACCAGUGGCGAAGGCGGCAUACUGGACUGUAACUGACGUUGAGGCUCGAAAGCGUGGGGAGCAAACAGGAUUAGAUACCCGAGUAGUC
Molecule: ribosomal RNA, 457 nt
Filed under: uncultured bacterium
Lineage: Bacteria
Description: partial 16S ribosomal RNA
Rfam family: Bacterial small subunit ribosomal RNA
Source: RNAcentral